Molecule: ribosomal RNA, 502 nt
Filed under: uncultured bacterium
Lineage: Bacteria
Description: bacterial SSU rRNA
Rfam family: Bacterial small subunit ribosomal RNA
Source: RNAcentral
ACUCAAAGGAAUUGACGGGGACCCGCACAAGUAGUGGAGCAUGUUGUUUAAUUCGAUGAUACGCGAGAAACCUUACCGACCCUUGACAUGUCCAUCACGACUUCUAGAAAUAGUUGUCUUCGGUUCGGCCGGAUGGAACACAGAUGCUGCAUGGCUGUCGUCAGCUCGUGUCGUGAGAUGUUGGGUUAAGUCCCGCAACGAGCGCAACCCUCAUCGUUAGUUGCCAUCAGGUAAUGCUGGGAACUCUAACGAAACUGCCGGUGAUAAGCUGGAGGAAGGUGGGGAUGACGUCAAGUCAGCAUGGCUCUUACGGGUCGGGCUACAAACGUGCUACAAUGGCGCUCACAGCGAGUCGCAAUGCCGCAAGGCAAAGCUAAUCUUUAAAAAGCGCCUCAGUUCAGAUUAUCCUCUGCAACUCGAGGGUAUGAAGUUGGAAUUACUAGUAAUCGUGGAUCAGAAUGCCACGGUGAAUGCGUUCUCGGGUCUUGUACACACCGCCCGU